AAUAUGUUAUAGCUAGUUUGAUAGUAAUAAUGGUUAGAAACAAGACUCCAGUCUACUGACUUGAUAAUAAAAACACACAGAAAUUACUUUUUAGGCUCCAAAGUAACACUACUCCUCGGAUCAACAAGCUGGUAAUAGCACAUUUACUAUUAUACCCCUUAAUAUCUACUUUACCUUUUAAAAAAGCAUACCCUCCCUGGCAGAGAAUUCAUAUCUUUUUGUUUGUACUGUAGAGAACCUUUUUCCUUUGGGUAAGCUCAAUAUUCCGAAGUCUCAGUGGGUGCCAUCUUGUUUUUCAUAAAGGUAUGAUAACAAAUAGAUCACCAGUGAAUAAUUUGGAUAAUGUUAUCAUAUGACCCCUAAAACACCUUUUACUAAGGUACACAAAAUAUGCAACUCUUAUUUUGCAACAUAAUACAUGUGUGUCCAAUUCUCCUUGCUGAUAAGCUCAUAUAGUGAUAAUGAAUAUGACACUUAUGACUGCCAUUAUACCAUAUGCCUGCGCAUGUGUCUGUAGUGUGUUUGUAUCAAUUUGUUUUUCAGUUACUAUAGUGACUGGCUGCAAAAUUUGUACUGCCCUAUCACAAAGCGUUGCAAAUGUUGCAGCAACAAAUGUUUAUCUCUUAUAAUAUUCAACAUUGCUGUCGCCAGUUCCAGGUCAGUUCUGGGUAUUAAAAUAUUAAUUUGCUCUCUUGGUGCCCAAGUAGAGAUGGGACAGCAUCAGAAAGAAUACCUGGUCAACCUGGGAUGGCACCAGAAAAAAUGGCUUCCAAAGAAACUUCUAUAAAAUGCAGUUCUCAUCCUGAAUAAUACAACACACAUUUAGCAAGAGAGAUGAUGCAUGUUUUCUUUAUUUCUCAUUUGACUAAGAAGUAUUGCAGGCCCAGACUAGACUAAGAGAUCUGUACUUAGACAUAACAGAACUGCGUAUACUAGUCAGAGGUAGAAUCAGGACCAGUGGUUCAGAGCAAGGCAAGAGUCUCUAUUCAUAAAUGUUGGAUGGAGCAUAUAUAAAGGAAACUAUUUUUCAUAAUAUUUAAAUAUAUGUCAUGUACUAAAAUAUAUAUAAACAUAUCAAAAACUAUUAAACUGUUACAAAAUUAAAAUAUAUUUUCAAAAUAUU
Non-coding RNA from Pelobates cultripes (western spadefoot toad), 1123 nucleotides. NCBI's taxonomy places the organism in Eukaryota, Metazoa, Chordata, Amphibia, Anura, Pelobatidae. The record is from the annotation of a GenBank genome assembly.